UCCCUGCUGGCUCAGAGGUUAAAGCGUCUGCCUGCAAUGCGGGAGCCCCAGGUUUGAUUCCUGGCUCGGGAA
RNAcentral lists this transfer RNA (72 nucleotides) under Ovis aries (sheep). It matches the Rfam family "tRNA". Rfam says of the family: Transfer RNA (tRNA) molecules are approximately 80 nucleotides in length. Their secondary structure includes four short double-helical elements and three loops (D, anti-codon, and T loops). Lineage: Eukaryota; Metazoa; Chordata; Mammalia; Artiodactyla; Bovidae. The record is from Rfam by way of RNAcentral.